UACGUAGGGUGCAAGCGUUGUUCGGAAUCACUGGGCGUAAAGGGCGCGUAGGCGGGUUUGCAAGUCGAUUGUGAAAUCCCAGGGCUUAACCCUGGAGCUGCAGUCGAAACUGCAAGUCUUGAAUGUCUGAGAGGGUGGGAGAAUUCCUGGUGUAGUAGUGAAAUACGUAGAUAUCAGGAGGAAUACCGGCGGCGAAGGCGCCUACCUGGCAGUACAUUGACGCUGAGGCGCGAAGGCGUGGGGAGCGAACAGG
Molecule: ribosomal RNA, 253 nt
Filed under: uncultured bacterium
Lineage: Bacteria
Description: partial 16S ribosomal RNA
Rfam family: Bacterial small subunit ribosomal RNA
Source: RNAcentral